This 70-nucleotide transfer RNA is filed under the name Bos taurus (domestic cattle). It matches the Rfam family "tRNA". From Rfam's summary of the family: Transfer RNA (tRNA) molecules are approximately 80 nucleotides in length. Their secondary structure includes four short double-helical elements and three loops (D, anti-codon, and T loops). RNAcentral also lists the same sequence under 2 other names. Lineage: Eukaryota; Metazoa; Chordata; Mammalia; Artiodactyla; Bovidae. The record is from Rfam by way of RNAcentral.
UCCCCUGGCUUAGAUGGUAAAGAAUCUGCCUGCAAUGCAGCAGACCCGGGUUCGAACCCUGGGUUGGGAA